Molecule: ribosomal RNA, 425 nt
Filed under: uncultured bacterium
Lineage: Bacteria
Description: bacterial SSU rRNA
Rfam family: Bacterial small subunit ribosomal RNA
Source: RNAcentral
GUGGGGAAUAUUGGACAAUGGGCGAAAGCCUGAUCCAGCAAUGCCGCGUGAGUGAUGAAGGCCUUAGGGUUGUAAAGCUCUUUUACCCGGGAUGAUAAUGACAGUACCGGGAGAAUAAGCUCCGGCUAACUCCGUGCCAGCAGCCGCGGUAAUACGGAGGGAGCUAGCGUUGUUCGGAAUUACUGGGCGUAAAGCGCACGUAGGCGGUUACUCAAGUCAGAGGUGAAAGCCCGGGGCUCAACCCCGGAACUGCCUUUGAAACUAGGUAACUAGAAUCUUGGAGAGGUCAGUGGAAUUCCGAGUGUAGAGGUGAAAUUCGUAGAUAUUCGGAAGAACACCAGUGGCGAAGGCGACUGACUGGACAAGUAUUGACGCUGAGGUGCGAAAGCGUGGGGAGCAAACAGGAUUAGAUACCCGUGUAGUCC